GGGACAGUAGCUUAGUGGUAGAGUGCUUGCCUAGUAUGCAUGAGGCCCUGGGAUCAAUCCUCAGUUCCUA
This 70-nucleotide transfer RNA is filed under the name Ictidomys tridecemlineatus (thirteen-lined ground squirrel). RNAcentral's name for it is "Spermophilus tridecemlineatus (thirteen-lined ground squirrel) tRNA". It matches the Rfam family "tRNA". From Rfam's summary of the family: Transfer RNA (tRNA) molecules are approximately 80 nucleotides in length. Their secondary structure includes four short double-helical elements and three loops (D, anti-codon, and T loops). Further hydrogen bonds mediate the characteristic L-shaped molecular structure. tRNAs have two regions of fundamental functional importance: the anti-codon, which is responsible for specific mRNA codon recognition, and the 3' end, to which the tRNAs corresponding amino acid is attached (by aminoacyl-tRNA synthetases). tRNAs cope with the degeneracy of the genetic code in two manners: having more than one tRNA (with a specific anti-codon) for a particular amino acid; and 'wobble' base-pairing, i.e. permitting non-standard base-pairing at the 3rd anti-codon position. Lineage: Eukaryota; Metazoa; Chordata; Mammalia; Rodentia; Sciuridae. The record is from Rfam by way of RNAcentral.